Molecule: long non-coding RNA, 2144 nt
Organism: Dromaius novaehollandiae (emu)
Lineage: Eukaryota; Metazoa; Chordata; Aves; Casuariiformes; Dromaiidae
Exons: 3
Source: RefSeq, a predicted model, not a curated record
CAUUUUCUCUCUUCCCGGCUGGUCCCUCAGGCCAGAAGAAGGGGACAAACCUCUUUCUAGCUUAUAUGAAUUUACACUCAUUUUUGUGCAAAGGAUUUCAGUCAUUUUUCUCUGCUUUCUAAUUUGCCUGAUUUCUCCCUAAUCUUUUUCAGGCUUCUUCAUCUCUCCUUAAUGUUAUCUUUUCCAUGUCUUUUCUUUAUUAUUUUUUUGUAAGGGGUACAAUUCCAUCACUGCCUCUUCGGAAAGAACAGCUUAACCACUGACUGCUUUUGGCUCUUGACGGUUGUUUCAGAGCUUCAUUUAUUUUACUAACCUAGUUUUCUCCCCUCCCUGCCUGCCCCUACCAGGACUGGGUUUAACUGGGUUUAAUGGCGGCGGGCCACCACCCCACAGGGCCCCUUUGAAACAUAAGGGCCAGGCUCCGGCAGGGCUUGUAAAGCCAAACCAAGCCCUGGCCGGGAGCAGGGAGGCCUCACGAGAGGAAAGGCAAAAAAUACGGAAGCAAAAUAGUUUGUUUCCCUCUUGGUGAAAAUGGGUGGGUGUAGAGGACUUCUCGUGCAGCCUGCCUCCCCUCUCUGCGGGCAAGUCAGGCCCGGCGGCGGGAGGCCCCGGGUCCCUCUGCUGCUGCUGUCCCCGCGGCUGAGCGAUGCUGGGCUGACCGCAGCCUGCCAUCACCCCCCCCAGCCCUGAGGAAGCGGCCGGGCCGGAGGCGGCUCCAUGGGGCCUGCGGAGCGGCCGUGAGGGCCGGCCCGCCUCGGGGCAGCGCCUCAGGGGCAGCCCGCGGUGCGAUGCCUGCAGCAGACGUAAGGGGCAGCAGGGGUCCUUCCUUUGGGGAAAAGAUACCCUCAUGCGCAGCGUUUUUCUUUCUGUCGUAGCUUUUACACAUAGAUGCAAAAAGUUUCGUCCCAAGGUGCCAGGCUGGGGUGUGUGAACGCCAGGGGUGUCUCGGUGCUCGCGGGGCGCUUGCUGUUUCACGGCGGGCCGCGGGUGCCUUGCCUCCCCGCCGAGGCGGCAGGCCGCGGGGCAGGCCGCGAGCUGCUGUGGGCCCCUCCGUGUUUCCAUACAGCGCUGGUGGCGGCGUCCAGCUGCAGAAAGGGGACAAGGGCUCGUGUCAAGCAAUAGGCUUCUUCUUGCUUUCCUGCUUCAGUGAAUGCCUGCAAGAGAAAAUCUGGUCAUUUAAAAGGCCACAGAGUUACACUGCAAAGGUGAAGCUUGUGCCAAACAGUUUUUGAGAAGAGUGGCAACAGUUUGAGAUGACUGACUGCAGCUGCGUAGUGUGGGGAUUCUUUUGGCUCAUUGUGCUGCUGUUUCUUGGCUGGCCCAUAAGCAUAGCCUUGUGUGCCCUCUACGGAUUCCUUUCCCCUCUCGCUACUUUAAUAGGACUAGAUGAAUUCAGUGAAGUGUUGCUGAAGGGAGCGUCUUUGGGGAGGCAGUGCGCUCAGAAUGUGCGCAAUGGCAAGCCCCUGUGUUAAGCCAUGAAGACAGCCCUGCGUCUGACAAGCAUUCUGCCGUAUACUACCGGUUUUCAUAGUUUACUCUGUUAAUCUUAAAUGUUUUCAGUUCUAAACAAACUCUUCUUAGUUUUUAACUGUGUAAAUUUCUUUUGAGGGUGUCUAUAAGAAAACUUAAUAAUCCAGCUGUUUCUCUUCUAAAAUAUACAAUAAAAGUUUCAGCUAUUGUUUUGAAAAUAAGAAAUGAUACCAAAUAUUUGGAGAAGUUAACUAAGUACAUAUUUCUCAGGAUUUGAGCUCGGUGUCAAAACCUAAUUAAACAGUUGAAAAUACUGCCUCAGAGGUAGAAUGCACCUAAUCAGUCUGAUCAAGUCACUUGAGAAGAGUAGAUUCUGAAUUGGAAUAUUAUUUUUGUGAAUCUUUUUUUGUGAAUAAUUUUUUAAAUCUGCACUCAGUAAUGAGAGAAAUUCUGAUCUGAUGGCCUUACAGUAUGUAUUUUUUCAUGUUUACAUUUCAGUGCCUGUUUAGUUUAUUUCCUUUUUAAUAGACAUUAGAGUUCUUUUGCAUUACCAUCUUAUUUUGUGUAUAUUUUCUGUGAAGGCAGUUUUUUAGUGGAGCAACUUUGCUUGUGUAGGUUCACUACACUACUUUCAACUAUAUUAAAUAAAUAAACCACUUCUGUGAACACCCUCA